UUAAUACUCCCUCCGUCCGGAAUUACUUGUCGCAGAAAUGGAUAGAAAUGGAUGUAUCUAGAACUAAAAUACAUCUAGAUACAUCCAUUUCUACGACAAGUAAUUCCAGGCGAAGGGAGUACUAA
This is a non-coding RNA of Triticum aestivum (bread wheat), 125 nucleotides long. Lineage: Eukaryota; Viridiplantae; Streptophyta; Magnoliopsida; Poales; Poaceae. The record is from Rfam.